This 465-nucleotide ribosomal RNA is filed under the name uncultured bacterium. RNAcentral's name for it is "partial 16S ribosomal RNA". It matches the Rfam family "Bacterial small subunit ribosomal RNA", at positions 28 to 507 of the family's 1533-position model. The record is from RNAcentral.
GACGAACGCUGGCGGCGUGCUUAACACAUGCAAGUCGAACGGAAAGGCCCCUUUGGGGGUACUCGAGUGGCGAACGGGUGAGUAACACGUGCGUAACCUGCCCUUGACUUCGGGAUAACUUCAGGAAACUGGGGCUAAUACCGGAUAGGAAUCCUUUCUUCAUGGUGGGGGUUGGAAAGCUUCGGCGGUUUUGGAUGGACUCGCGGCUUAUCAGCUUGUUGGUGGGGUAGUGGCUUACCAAGGCUUUUACGGGUAGCCGGCCUGAGGGGGCGACCGGCCACAUUGGGACUGAGAUAAGGCCCAGACUCCUACGGGAGGCAGCAGUGGGGAAGAUUGCACAAUGGGCGGAAGCCUGAUGCAGCAACGCCGCGUGCGGGAUGACGGCCUUCGGGUUGGAAAACGCUUUCAGCAGGGGCGAAGCUUGUGGUGACGGUACCUGCAGAAGAAGCACCGGCUAACUACGUG